UGAAUCAAUGCCUUAAAUAAUAAUAAAUAUCAUUUCAUGAGUUAAAAAAUUAUAAAAAAAGUCCCAUCGCAAUACACUUGCGAUUGGCUUAUAGGACACUUUUCUUUCACUUUACACCUAUUCAUGUUGAACCCAUUUCAACAUAAAUUUUAUGUACCUAGACUAGGACAAGCCCUACAUCCACUAACAUCUAUCCCUAUAGAUGCCAAAAAUUGGAUGCUUAACCCAAAUCUAUCUGUGAUAAGCAAGCCAUUGACCGAGUACAAUAUUGGGACUACCUUCCCAAUAAGCUGUAUGUCCCCCAC
This 305-nucleotide long non-coding RNA is filed under the name Elaeis guineensis (African oil palm). RNAcentral's name for it is "long non-coding RNA (EGUI_LNC062453)". The record is from RNAcentral. Lineage: Eukaryota; Viridiplantae; Streptophyta; Magnoliopsida; Arecales; Arecaceae.